UGCAAAGGACUUUAAAUGUUCCCAGGCAAUUGGUGUUAAAAGGUCUUCGGGAAUACAGUCUUAAAAUGCCAAGCAUAUUGAGUAGGUUCGGAAAAGGAAAGUUUAAAAAAAUUAUUCGUGAGGAAGACUUGAACGAACAUAAUGAUGCACGCAUCUUGAUACGUGAGGAAGAGGAAGAAGUUGAAGCGAAAUGCUUUGGCACGGUGAAUAAGUGGGAUGUGCUUAAGUGUUUUGUCUUCUUGCUUUAUCUUGUGGUGUUCUUUUUUUUGGCAAGAUAUGUUGAUAUUUGGAAGUGUAUCCCUUAGAUGAUGCCUGAUCAACACGAGCAGUAGUCAACAAGUAGAUUUUUAGUUUUUAGUUAUGCUUAGUAGUUCAACAUGUUAGUUACGCUUUUUUUACAUUUUAUAAUAAAAUAAAAUGCCUUUAAAUAUAUAAGGGUUUCUAAUAAAAAA
Molecule: unclassified non-coding RNA, 452 nt
Filed under: Anthonomus grandis grandis
Lineage: Eukaryota; Metazoa; Arthropoda; Insecta; Coleoptera; Curculionidae
Description: uncharacterized LOC126748879
Source: RNAcentral